This 533-nucleotide non-coding RNA is filed under the name Pan troglodytes (chimpanzee). The record is from RNAcentral. Lineage: Eukaryota; Metazoa; Chordata; Mammalia; Primates; Hominidae.
GAAACCACGGCAUGGAGACGGAAUGAUGCAGACUCCUAUCCGCGAGACACCUGCUGUAAUUUCGCUGUGGUUCGUGAGGACGCGUCCUGGGCUGCCCUGAGAAGCCUACGUCUCCCCUUCGAGGCCUGGGAAGACCUCCGACCACGCUGACAAUGCUGGGCCCUCAGCCAGACCUGCCCUGCGUGCCACGUUCUGUUCUGAGAUCGGGCUGCCGAGCUGUGGCCUGGAGGAAACCUGGCAGGUGGGGCUGCCAUGAGCAGCAAGCUCAGUCCAGAAGAGCAGUUCCUCUCCAGGAUCCACUUCCUGCGCACUUUUAUGUGCAGUGUAGCUGGAGCAGAGCUCCCCGGAAUUCCACAGGCAACUGAGAACGGAGAGGGAUGCAGGCCAGCCAGGGAUCCAGCGUCUUCCCCAUCGUCACUCUUCAUGGCCUCCGUCUGCACACAGUGUUCGUUUGCACAGCUUGUCAGCGCGUUAUCAUGACUUCUAUUUGGCACCGGCCCGUCUGUCCACUCUCCUGGCUUGUUCCAAGCGCU